CCUACGGGUGGCAGCAGUGAGGAAUAUUGGUCAAUGGACGCAAGCCUGAACCAGCCAUGCCGCGUGCAGGAAGACGGUUCUAUGAAUUGUAAACUGCUUUUGUACGAGGGUAAAUCCCGAGACGUGUCCCCGGUUGAGAGUAUCGGAAGAAUAAGCAUCGGCUAACUCCGUGCCAGCAGCCGCGGUAAUACGGAGGAUGCAAGCGUUAUCCGGAUUUAUUGGGUUUAAAGGGUGCGUAGGCGGUUCGAUAAGUUAGGAGUGAAAUCCCGGGGCUCAACUCCGGCACCGCCUUUGAAACUGUCGGGCUAGAGUUGGGGUGCAGUAUGCGGAAUGUGCGGUGUAGCGGUGAAAUGCAUAGAUAUCGCGCAGAACUCCGAUUGCGAAGGCAGCAUACCGGCGCCAGACUGACGCUGAGGCACGAAAGCGUGGGUAUCGAACAGGAUUAGAUACCCGGGUAGUC
This 460-nucleotide ribosomal RNA is filed under the name uncultured bacterium. Its description in RNAcentral is "partial 16S ribosomal RNA". It matches the Rfam family "Bacterial small subunit ribosomal RNA", at positions 338 to 795 of the family's 1533-position model. The record is from RNAcentral.